CGCCACUGCACUCCAGCCUGGGCGACAGAGCUAGACUCCGUCUCAAAAAAAAAAAAAGAAAUGGGAAAACAUUGAGGAUGAAGUAGCAAAUAUUUGAGAAUUCAACUUGAUUGGUGGCUGUUGCAGGUUCAUAUGUGAGUGGUUACGUAGUGGGUAGUUAAACUGGCAAUGACCAGCUGAAUUUUGGUGACAGGACUGCUCCUAAGGUUUGAAAUGUAGCGUACCCUCUGAUUCACAGGCUAAGCUCUGCCACUUAGCAGGAGGAGCUCAUGAUAGAGCAGGUUGAGGGGAAAACUUUGCCCCAUAAGGGUUCCUCACUGCAAGUGAGAAGGUCUUGGCUUUGAGCCUCCAAUUUCAAUCAGACAGAAAGCAGACCAGUCGGCAGGACAGUGUAUGCCUCUGGAGAUCCGUGCUGAUGUGGGGGCCUCAGAUACACGAUGCCUCAGGGCCCAGGCGUGACCCUCUCCUUCCCUCCUGCACGGGGAUGCUGUGAGAAUUAGACACUCCCACAGGGCCCUGUCAGACACUGAGCUAGCCUCUGGGAACCGGAAGAUAUUCAAAACACCGGCCACCCCACACACACACAGACACAAGGCGCUGGAGGGACAGCUGUGCAGCGGCAGAGCAUGGGAGGUCUUGAUCAGUUAACUCAGUGAGGUUAGGAGGCGAAUUUUUUUUUUUUUUUGAGAUGGAGUCUUACUCUGUCACCCAGUCAGGAGUGCAGUGGCGUGAUCUCGGCUCACUGCAAGCUCCGCCUCCUGGCCUCAAGCGAUUCUUCCGCCUCAGCCUCCGGAGUAGCUGGGACUACAGGUGCGUGCCACCACACCCAGCUAAUUUUUGUAUUUUUGGUAGAGACAGUGUUUCACCACGUUGGACAGGCUGGUCUCAAUCUCUUGACCUCGUUAUCUGCCUGCCCUGGCCUCCCAAAGUGCUGGGAUUAUAGGUGUGAGCCACAAAGCCUUUUUGUUUUCAUUUUUGAGAUGGAGUCUCGCUCUGUCGCCCAGGCUGGAGUGCAGUGGCGCAAUCUUGGCUCACUGCAAGCUCCGCCCUCCUGGGUUAACGCCAUUCUCCCUUCUUAGCCUCCCAAGGCUACAGGCGCCUGCCUACAGGCCCGGCUAAUUUUGUUUUUGUAUUUUUAGUAGAGACGGGGUUUCACCAUGUUAGCCAGGAUGGUCUCGAUCUCCUGACCUCGUGAUCCACCCACCUUAGCCUCCAAAAGUGCUGGGAUUACAAAUGUGAGCCACCACGCCCAGCCUUUUUUUUUUUUUUUAGACGAAGUCUCUGUCACCCAGGCUAGAGUGCAGUGGUGUGAUCUCGGCUCACUGCAACCUCCGCUUCCCGGGUUCAAGUGAUUCUCCUGCCUCAGCCUCGCAGGUAGCUGGGAUUACGGGCUCGUGCCACCACACCUGGCUAAUUUUUAUAUUUUAUUUAUUUAUUUAUUUAUUUAGAGAUGGAGUCUCGCUCUGUCGCCCAGGCUGGAGUGCAGUGGCAUGAUCUCAGCUCACUGCAACCUCUGCAUCCCAGUUCAAGCAAUUCUCCUGCCUCGGCCUCCUGAGUGGCUGGGAUUACAGGUGCCCGCCACCACACUCGGCUAAUUUUUUGUAUUUUUAGUAGAGAUGGGGUUUCACCGUGGUGGCCAGGCUGGUCUCAAACUCCUGACCUCAAAUGAUCUGCCUGCCUCAGCUUCCCAAAGUGCUGGGAUGACACUGAGCCACCGCGCCUGGCAAGGAGACAGUCUCGCUCUGCUCUUCCAGUUUGAAUAUCACGCAGGCUGGAGCGCAGUGGCGCAAUCUCGGCUCACUGCAACCUCUGCCUCCUGGGUUCAAGCAAUUCUGCCUCAGCCACCCGAGUAGCUGGGAUUACAGGCACACGCCACCACGCCCGGCUAAUUUUUGUAUUGUAUUAGAGACAGGGUUUCACCAUGUUGGCGAGGCUGGUCCCGAACUCCUGGCCUCAAGUGAUCUGCCCGCCGUUCGCCUCAGUGUCCCGAGGUGCUGGGAUUACAGGUGUGAGCCACCGCACCCAGCAAAAGUGCUUUCUUGAGAUGGAAUCUGCGCCUGGUGAAGAUGCUCUAAACAUUGCUGAGAUAACAAAGGAUUUAGAAUAUUCCAUAAACUUCGUUGGUACAGCAGCGAUAGGGUUCGAGAGGAUUUUCCAGUUGUGAGAGAAGGUCUGCUGUGGACAAAAUGCUACCAAACAGCAUCGCGUGCUACGGAGAAAUCUUUUGUGAAAGGAAGAAGCUCAAUGUGGCCAGCUUUAUUGUUGUCUUAUUUUAAGAAAUUGCCGGCCAGGUGUGGUGGAGAAUCACUUGAACCCAGGAGGCAGAGGUUGCAGUGAGCCGAGAUUAUGCCAUUGAACUCCA
Molecule: long non-coding RNA, 2362 nt
Filed under: Pan troglodytes (chimpanzee)
Lineage: Eukaryota; Metazoa; Chordata; Mammalia; Primates; Hominidae
Description: long non-coding RNA NONPTRT002463
Source: RNAcentral